This is a transfer RNA of Natronolimnobius baerhuensis, 108 nucleotides long. It matches the Rfam family "tRNA". From Rfam's summary of the family: Transfer RNA (tRNA) molecules are approximately 80 nucleotides in length. The record is from Rfam. NCBI's taxonomy places the organism in Archaea, Methanobacteriati, Methanobacteriota, Halobacteria, Halobacteriales, Natrialbaceae.
GGGCCCUUAGCUCAGUCUGGUUAGAGCGCUCGGCUCAUAACACGAGUGUACGUCUGUGCGGUCGUGUGGGAUACCGAGUGGUCGAUGGUUCGAAUCCGUCAGGGCCCA